RNAcentral lists this ribosomal RNA (432 nucleotides) under uncultured bacterium. Its description in RNAcentral is "bacterial SSU rRNA". It matches the Rfam family "Bacterial small subunit ribosomal RNA", at positions 29 to 501 of the family's 1533-position model. The record is from RNAcentral.
AGCGAACGCUGGCGGCAGGCUUAACACAUGCAAGUCGAACGCCCGUAGCAAUACGGGAGUGGCAGACGGGUGAGUAACGCGUGGGAACGUGCCCUUUGGUUCGGGAUAACCCAGGGAAACUUGGGCUAAUACCGGAUACGUCCCCUUUGGGGAGAAAGAUUUAUUGCCGAAGGAUCGGCCCGCGUCCGAUUAGCUAGUUGGUGGGGUAAAGGCUCUACCAAGGCGACGAUCGGUAGCUGGUCUGAGAGGAUGAUCAGCCACACUGGGACUGAGACACGGCCCAGACUCCUACGGGAGGCAGCAGUGGGGAAUAUUGGACAAUGGGCGCAAGCCUGAUCCAGCCAUGCCGCGUGGGUGAUGAAGGCCCUAGGGUUGUAAAAGCCUUUCGGCGGGAAGAUAAUGACGGUACCCGCAGAAGAAGCCCCGGCUAAC